Molecule: long non-coding RNA, 2561 nt
Filed under: Sus scrofa (pig)
Lineage: Eukaryota; Metazoa; Chordata; Mammalia; Artiodactyla; Suidae
Description: lncRNA (ENSSSCG00025001098.1)
Source: RNAcentral
CAAUGCAGGGUCCGAGUUGCAUCUGUGACCUACACCAUAGCUCACCGCAACAGUGGAUCUGCGACCCACUGAGUAAGGCCCAGAAUUGAACCGGCAUCCUCAUAGAUACUGAUCAGAUUCGUUUCUAUUGCACCAUAGAGGGAACUCCCCAUUGGUGUACUUUUAAAUCUCAUCUCUUUCAUUUUUUAAGUGCAUGUGUGCUCUUAGCAUGUGUUCAACAGAUGCCAGGGGGAGGAAGGUGACAAGAGAAGUCGCACAAUACAGAAUCACUCUUUUUUACCCUUGAAACCAAUAGAGUUUAAUUGUAUGCACUAUAUACACACGUGUGUAUGUAUUAUGUAUACACAUAUAUGAAUGUAUGUAUUUAAUAUUUAGCAUAGUAACCUGUGGGUUUUUUUAAAUGUAUUUUAUUUUGAAGUAUAACAUACUCAUAAAAAAGUGAUACAACCCUUAUAAUUGCUGCCCAUGUGAAAAAGAAAGAGGAGACAGAGGAGAAGGAAGAAGUGGAGGAAUAGGAGGUAGAAGAGAAAUAGAGGAUGAGAAAGAGAAGAAUUAGAAGCUUUCGAAAAAUUUGACUGGCAUAUCAGAAGUCUUGUGAAUUUAUUCCCAAUCACAACCCUCUCCUCACGCUCUUCCCUUAAUAAGCCCUAGCCUCACUUUUUAUGUAGUCAUUUCUUGCUUUCUUUAUAGUCUUGCCACUUUAGUGUGUGCCCAUAUACUCCAUAUAUGUCCAUACAGUUUAGUGAUGUAUGUUUGGGAACUUGAUGUAAGUAUAAUCAUCCUGGAUGUAUUUAGUCUUGUUUCUUCCAUUUGUUACCCAUGUUGUUGAAUACCUCUAUGGUUUGUUGAUUUUCAUUGUUUUGUAGUAAAUGCUGUAAAAGUGUACCACAAUUCCUGUAUCUACUCUGCUAUAUUAGACACCUGGGUUGAUUACAGUUUGCCCCUAACUUCAAAUAAUGUUGCCAUAACUAUUCUUACACUUUUGGUGCACAGGACAUGUAUUUUUUUUUCCUCAACCUAUACUUUUAUUAUUGCCAUUUUAUGAGUAGGAAAAAUUACAGUUUACAAAACACACUUGAGGUCACCCUACUUAUUCAUAACAGAGGUGGAAUUAAGAGACAUAUAACUACAUGCACUUGUUGGAACAUGGAGGACAUGCAUUUCUGUUGGACAUAGUCCUGGUCAAUACAAAUUAAAAAUGUGACCAUGGGCAAUGAAUCUAACUUACUCUAAAUGAAAGUGCAGUGAGCCAGUAAUCUAAUGAAGGAAAACAACCAUUCUUUUGGUUAUUCUAAGGUUGUAGAUGCCGCCUGAACACAGAGAUGGCCAUUUCCAUCCAGGUGAAUAAAAAAAGAGUAUCCAAGAUUGUAUCUUUGCUUAAGAUUCAUGUCUGCAAGUUAUGUUUCAUUAAGAAAAUAAAAUGUUUUAGUUUUUAAACUAUCCCUGGUACUAGUUCUAGAAUUCCAAAAUUAAUAGGAUGAAAUAUCCUUGGAGGGCAGAGAGUAUAUCUCACUUGUCUUUUAUGUUCUUCACAGGGACCAUGGCAAUGCUGGAAAGAUGUUAAGUCUCCACUAAUUAUGCAUUGCCUUAAUAAAUAUUCUUUUAACUUAAAACUUUUUAUGUUCUGGGUUUUUUUUGUUUGUUUGUUUUUGUUUUUUGUCCACACCUGUGGCAUGUGGAAGUUUCUGGGUCAGGGAUAAAACCUGUGCAACAGCAGCAGCCUGAGCCACUGUAGUAACAACACCAGAUCCUUAACUUGCUGCGUUAUGAGAGAGCUCCACUUCUUUGGUUUUGAAAGCCUCUUUCUUGAAAAAAUAAGAAAAUAAUAUUGUGGGUGAGUCCAUCUUUUUUCUUCAUAAUUUUUUUUAACCAAAUUCAUAUAUGUCCUAAGUGCAGGCAGUAUAUUUCUGAGGCUUUUAAAAUUAUAAUUUGGACCUUUUGUUUGCCUUUUGAAAUGAAAGACAAAAUGAACAAUACACUAAGAUGAAAGUAUAUCACUCAUGAUAGACCUGUGCUUCAAAUUAAAUAUAUUUUAGGCCUUAGCUGAUUUUGCCAGUUAAGGCCAGAUCAUGGUAAAUUGAUUUCAGUUAUCUUCCUGUUUUUUUUAAUGGGCUUUGUUCUAAAGCUUCAGCUGAAGAAUCAAACUGUUCUGGAUUAACUGAAGUCUUGUUCCUGUUCAUACAAAUGCAGUCAACAUGAACACUAUAACUCAUCCAAGAACCAUUUAAACUAUUAAGGAAAAGGUGAUUUAAUUGUAGCUCAGUGGGUUAAGGACCCACUCGAUCUCUGGCCUCACUCAGUGGGUUAAGGACUGGGUGUAGAUGCAGCUCAGAUCUGGCGUUGCCAUGGCUGUGGCAUACGCCACAGCUGCAGUUCCCAGUCAACCCAUGGCCUGGGAAAAUCCAUAUGCCACAGAUGCAGUUGUAAAAAGUAAAAGAAAAAGAAAAAUUGCAUAUCCAGUAUCAGGCUGGGAGAGAACACUGCUUCUUAUGAAUCCAGCAUACUACCCACACCAUGAUUCAUUUUGCUUCUUUGCUGUAACACAUGUUAGCAUUCUUUUU